GAUGAAGAACGCAGCGAAAUGCGAUACGUAGUGUGAAUUGCAGAAUUCAGUGAAUCAUCGAAUCUUUGAACGCACAUUGCGCCCGCCAGCACUCUGGCGGGCAUGCCUGUUCGAGCGUCAUUUCAACCAUCAAGCCCCCAGGGCUUGUGCUGGGGCCCUGCGGCUGCCCGCAGGCCCUGAAAACCAGUGGCGGGCUCGCUAGUCACACCGAGCGCAGUAGCACAUCUCGCUCAGGGCGUGCGGCGGGCUCCUGCCGUGAAACCCCCCACUGUAACCCCAAAGGUUGACCUCGGAUCAGGUAGGAAUACCCGCUGAACUUAAGCAUAUCAAUAAGCGGAGGA
Molecule: unclassified non-coding RNA, 341 nt
Filed under: soil metagenome
Description: partial contains 5.8S ribosomal RNA, internal transcribed spacer 2, and large subunit ribosomal RNA
Rfam family: 5.8S ribosomal RNA (bases 1-120)
Source: RNAcentral